Molecule: ribosomal RNA, 274 nt
Filed under: uncultured bacterium
Lineage: Bacteria
Description: partial 16S ribosomal RNA
Rfam family: Bacterial small subunit ribosomal RNA
Source: RNAcentral
AUACGAAGGGAGCUAGCGUUGUUCGGAAUUACUGGGCGUAAAGCGCACGUAGGCGGACUUGUUAGUCAGGGGUGAAAUCCCGGGGCCCAACCUCGGAACUGCCUUUGAUACUGCAAGUCUGGAGUCCGGAAGAGGUGGGUGGAAUUCCUAGUGUAGAGGUGAAAUUCGUAGAUAUUAGGAAGAACACCGGUGGCGAAGGCGGCCCACUGGUCCGGUACUGACGCUGAGGUGCGAAAGCGUGGGGAGCAAACAGGAUUAGAUACCCCGGUAGUCC